GAUGAACGCUGGCGGCGUGCCUAAUACAUGCAAGUCGAGCGAACAGACGAGGAGCUUGCUCCUCUGACGUUAGCGGCGGACGGGUGAGUAACACGUGGAUAACCUACCUAUAAGACUGGGAUAACUUCGGGAAACCGGAGCUAAUACCGGAUAAUAUAUUGAACCGCAUGGUUCAAUAGUGAAAGACGGUUUUGCUGUCACUUAUAGAUGGAUCCGCGCCGCAUUAGCUAGUUGGUAAGGUAACGGAUUACCAAGGCAACGAUGCGUAGCCGACCUGAGAGGGUGAUCGGCCACACUGGAAGUGAGACACGGUCGAGACUCCUGCGGGUGGCAUCAGUAGGGAAUCUUCCGCAAUGGUGGAUGGCUUGACGGAGCAAAGCCGCGUGAGUAAUGAAGGUCUUCGGAUCGUUAAGCUCUGUUAUUAGGGAAGAACAAAUGUGUAAGUAACUAUGCACUUCUUGACGGUACCUAAUCAGAAAGCCACGGCUAACUACGUG
RNAcentral lists this ribosomal RNA (497 nucleotides) under uncultured bacterium. Its description in RNAcentral is "partial 16S ribosomal RNA". It matches the Rfam family "Bacterial small subunit ribosomal RNA", at positions 28 to 507 of the family's 1533-position model. The record is from RNAcentral.